RNAcentral lists this small nuclear RNA (154 nucleotides) under Canis lupus familiaris (dog). RNAcentral's name for it is "U4 spliceosomal RNA (multiple genes)". It matches the Rfam family "U4 spliceosomal RNA". From Rfam's summary of the family: U4 small nuclear RNA (U4 snRNA) is a component of the major U2-dependent spliceosome. The structure of U4 snRNA from yeast and human has been reported. U4 snRNA presents a k-turn RNA motif in the 5p-SL related to recognition of Snu13 protein. RNAcentral also lists the same sequence under 1 other name. Lineage: Eukaryota; Metazoa; Chordata; Mammalia; Carnivora; Canidae. The record is from Rfam by way of RNAcentral.
AGCUUUGUGCAGUGGCAGUAUCAUAGCCAAUGAGGUUUAUCCAAGGUGUGAUUAUGGGUAAUUUAAAACAUUUCCCUGAUGAUUAGUAAUAUUGAACAUGCUUUUGUGCGUCUUUUGGCCAUCUGCAAAUAUUAUUUGGAAAAAAUGUCUAUUC